UGCGUAGGUGGCAAAGUAAGUUGGAUGUGAAAUCCUGGGGCUUAACCUCAGAAUUGCAUUCAAUACUGCUUAGCUAGAGAGCUGUAGAGGAGACUGGAAUUUACGGUGUAGCAGUGAAAUGCGUAGAUAUCGUAAGGAACGCCAGUGGCGAAAGCGAGUCUCUGGGCAGCAUCUGACACUGAGGCACGAAGGCCAGGGGAGCAAACG
RNAcentral lists this ribosomal RNA (207 nucleotides) under uncultured bacterium. Its description in RNAcentral is "partial 16S ribosomal RNA". It matches the Rfam family "Bacterial small subunit ribosomal RNA", at positions 568 to 774 of the family's 1533-position model. The record is from RNAcentral.